UAUCUCUGUAGAGUCUGCAUAUCAAUAAGCGGAGGAAAAGAAACUAACUAGGAUUCCCUUAGUAACGGCGAGUGAAGCGGGAAGAGCUCAAAUUUGAAAUCUUCAAGGUUCUACCUUGACGAAUUGUAGUUUAAAGAAGUGUUUUCUGUUGGUAGUUUUGGUAAAAGUUCUUUGGAAUAGGACAUCAUAGAGGGUGAGAAUCCCGUAUUUGACCAUUACUUUCCAGCUUUGUGAUACACUUUCAAAGAGUCGGAUUGUUUGGGAAUGCAGUUCAAAAUGGGUGGUAAAUUUCAUCUAAAGCUAAAUAUUGGCGAGAGACCGAUAGCGAACAAGUACCGUGAGGGAAAGAUGAAAAGAACUUUGAAAAGAGAGUUAAACAGUACGUGAAAUUGUCAAAAGGGAAGCGUUUGACACCAGUGUUGUUUUCUCGAAAAUCAAUUAAAAAAGGCAGGAUUUCGUGUUGUAUUGACUUUAUCAGCUUUCUGCACUCUUUUCUUGUCUUUUUUAAUGCACUUUUCGUUUAACAAGUCAACAUCAAUUUCUUUUGUUGUAAAAGGGUCAUUGGAAGGUGGCUUUCUUUUCGGAGAAAGUGUUUAUAGCCUUUGGCUUCUGCAAUCGGAGAGAUUGAGGUCUGCAGCGUAGAUCCUUCGGGGCUAGAUACAUUAGAUGCUAAGUUAUAGUCCUUUAGUAGACAACUUGUUGACUAUGAUUAAGUCAUGUAGCUUACUCGCUUAUGCCUAUUUUACCUACGCUUAGGAUGUUGACGAUCAGCUGAGCGCG
This 780-nucleotide ribosomal RNA is filed under the name uncultured Neocallimastigales. RNAcentral describes it as "partial large subunit ribosomal RNA". It matches the Rfam family "Eukaryotic large subunit ribosomal RNA", at positions 24 to 627 of the family's 3401-position model. Lineage: Eukaryota; Fungi; Neocallimastigomycota; Neocallimastigomycetes; Neocallimastigales. The record is from RNAcentral.